Non-coding RNA from Schistosoma margrebowiei, 45 nucleotides. Lineage: Eukaryota; Metazoa; Platyhelminthes; Trematoda; Strigeidida; Schistosomatidae. The record is from Rfam.
AUCCAGUUGACGAGUCCAAAACAGGACGAAAAGUGCAUCCUGAAU